RNAcentral lists this ribosomal RNA (484 nucleotides) under uncultured bacterium. Its description in RNAcentral is "partial 16S ribosomal RNA". It matches the Rfam family "Bacterial small subunit ribosomal RNA", at positions 30 to 507 of the family's 1533-position model. The record is from RNAcentral.
AUUGAACGCUGGCGGCAGGCCUAACACAUGCAAGUCGAGCGGAUGAAGGGAGCUUGCUCCUGGAUUCAGCGGCGGACGGGUGAGUAAUGCCUAGGAAUCUGCCUGGUAGUGGGGGAUAACGUCCGGAAACGGGCGCCAAUACCGCAUACGUCCUGAGGGAGAAAGUGGGGGAUCUUCGGACCUCACGCUAUCAGAUGAGCCUAGGUCGGAUUAGCUAGUUGGUGGGGUAAAGGCCUACCAAGGCGACGAUCCGUAACUGGUCUGAGAGGAUGAUCAGUCACACUGGAACUGAGACACGGUCCAGACUCCUACGGGAGGCAGCAGUGGGGAAUAUUGGACAAAGGGCGAAAGCCUGAUCCAGCCAUGCCGCGUGUGUGAAGAAGGUCUUCGGAUUGUAAAGCACUUUAAGUUGGGAGGAAGAGCAGUAAGUUAAUACCUUGCUGUUUUGACGUUACCAACAGAAUAAGCACCGGCUAACUUCGUG